RNAcentral lists this long non-coding RNA (1138 nucleotides) under Piliocolobus tephrosceles (Ugandan red Colobus). RNAcentral's name for it is "lncRNA (ENSPTEG00000019347.1)". The record is from RNAcentral. Lineage: Eukaryota; Metazoa; Chordata; Mammalia; Primates; Cercopithecidae.
UAAAUAAAAUAAAUUUAAACAAUUCCAUUAUAAAUAAUCAAACAAUAGAAAUAGAAAAUAUGCAUAUGAAUUUUAAACAAUUAGAAGAAGAAUUAAGAAAUAAAGACAACGAAUUAAAAAGAUUACAUGAAAUUAUUUUACAAAAAGAAGAAGAAAAUCAAAAAGUUGUCAAAAAUAUGAAUCGUCUAAAAUUCGAUAUUGAUGUAAAAAAUGUUGAUAUAAAAAACACAGAACAAAAAAUAAUAAAUAUUAAAAAAGAAUAUUCCAUUCUUUUAAAAAAAACAAAAAGAACGAUAUGUAGAUAUAAUUAAUGAAAUAUAUAAAAAAAAAUGAAGAGGUUAUUAAAAGUCAUGAGGAUAAAUUGGUACAGACCAAUGCAAAAUACGACGAGAUAAUUGCCGCAAAUGAGGAGCUCAAAAAAGGAGAUUAACGCCCUCAAGGACGAGCUUUUAAAAAGAUCCUGCGAAAACGAAGGUCUUCAAGACACUUUGAUAGACUACGAAUCAAAAUUGUUAAUAUAUGAAAAUAACAAUGAAGUGAAAAUAUUAAAAAAAAAUGAAAAUCAUUACAAAAAAUUAUUAAAUAAACAUAUUCUAAAAAAUGAAGAAUUAAUUAAUACAACUUUUCUUUUACAAAAAUCAACAUUGGAAAAUAAUAAUUUAGAAAAACAAAUAAUCGAAUUAAAAGCUAAAAGUUAUGUGAAAGACCAAGAAAUAAAAAAGUUACUCGAAACGAAUAAAAAAAAAAAAAAAAAAAAAUAAUAAUAAUAAUGUCAAUAAUAAUGUCAAUAAUAAUUGUAAUGUUAUUAUAGCUAUGGAAAAAAACAAUAACGCUAUACUCGACAAUAUAAGUGAUGCGGAUAUGGACAUAACUAAUUAUAAUCAUGCUUUACUUCAAAGCGAUUCUAUUUCUGUAUUAAAAAAAGAGAAUGAUCGAUUAAGCCAGUCAGGUAUGUUUAAUAACAUAAACAAAAUUGAUAAAAUUGGUAAUGGUGAUAUAUGUGAAGAAUUAAAUGAAAUACUUAGUUAUAAAAAAAGGACCCAAAAGUCUUGACACUAUUGACUUAUUCGAAUCAAGUGAAAACGAAUUACUUAAAACUAAAAAUCCGUACGAAAAUAAAUUUUUUAAGGAUGACCCA